This 401-nucleotide long non-coding RNA is filed under the name Amborella trichopoda. RNAcentral describes it as "long non-coding RNA (ATRI_LNC004899)". The record is from RNAcentral. Lineage: Eukaryota; Viridiplantae; Streptophyta; Magnoliopsida; Amborellales; Amborellaceae.
GUCUUUCACUCUCUUAUCAGCCUUUUUCUUUGGCUAAGGGAGCUUGAAGGGAGAAAGGCUGGUAUAGGUUCAACCACUCUCACUUACUAGGAAGAAGGACGUAGACAAUCUAAGACGGAAGACAUUGUAGUUUGAUUUGCUUUCUUAAGCCGAUCCAUUGACCCGAGUACUUGCCUAAGCCCUUUGCAUCUGUUUCCAGUUUGAUAUGGACACAGGUCUGAGGUUGUCAUACCACUCGUAGGCAGGACUGUCGAGGGAAAGGGAAACUUGUCUCAAUAGCAAAGACCCAUUUGUGGCAGUGUCUCGACAAGCGGUAAUGAAAUGAGAUAAGUGUCUUUUGGGGAAACCUCUCCCAUCAAACAUAGAAAAUGGUGGGAUUUGGUACCCUGGUGGAUAAGGAA